GACGAACGCUGGCGGCGUGCCUAAUACAUGCAAGUCGAACGAACUCUGGUAUUGAUUGGUGCUUGCAUCAUGAUUUACAUUUGAGUGAGUGGCGAACUGGUGAGUAACACGUGGGAAACCUGCCCAGAAGCGGGGGAUAACACCUGGAAACAGAUGCUAAUACCGCAUAACAACUUGGACCGCAUGGUCCGAGUUUGAAAGAUGGCUUCGGCUAUCACUUUUGGAUGGUCCCGCGGCGUAUUAGCUAGAUGGUGGGGUAACGGCUCACCAUGGCAAUGAUACGUAGCCGACCUGAGAGGGUAAUCGGCCACAUUGGGACUGAGACACGGCCCAAACUCCUACGGGAGGCAGCAGUAGGGAAUCUUCCACAAUGGACGAAAGUCUGAUGGAGCAACGCCGCGUGAGUGAAGAAGGGUUUCGGCUCGUAAAACUCUGUUGUUAAAGAAGAACAUAUCUGAGAGUAACUGUUCAGGUAUUGACGGUAUUUAACCAGAAAGCCACGGCUAACUACGUGCCAGCAGCCGCGGUAAUACGUAGGUGGCAAGCGUUGUCCGGAUUUAUUGGGCGUAAAGCGAGCGCAGGCGGUUUUUUAAGUCUGAUGUGAAAGCCUUCGGCUCAACCGAAGAAGUGCAUCGGAAACUGGGAAACUUGAGUGCAGAAGAGGACAGUGGAACUCCAUGUGUAGCGGUGAAAUGCGUAGAUAUAUGGAAGAACACCAGUGGCGAAGGCGGCUGUCUGGUCUGUAACUGACGCUGAGGCUCGAAAGUAUGGGUAGCAAACAGGAUUAGAUACCCUGGUAGUCCAUACCGUAAACGAUGAAUGCUAAGUGUUGGAGGGUUUCCGCCCUUCAGUGCUGCAGCUAACGCAUUAAGCAUUCCGCCUGGGGAGUACGGCCGCAAGGCUGAAACUCAAAGGAAUUGACGGGGGCCCGCACAAGCGGUGGAGCAUGUGGUUUAAUUCGAAGCUACGCGAAGAACCUUACCAGGUCUUGACAUACUAUGCAAAUCUAAGAGAUUAGACGUUCCCUUCGGGGACAUGGAUACAGGUGGUGCAUGGUUGUCGUCAGCUCGUGUCGUGAGAUGUUGGGUUAAGUCCCGCAACGAGCGCAACCCUUAUUAUCAGUUGCCAGCAUUAAGUUGGGCACUCUGGUGAGACUGCCGGUGACAAACCGGAGGAAGGUGGGGAUGACGUCAAAUCAUCAUGCCCCUUAUGACCUGGGCUACACACGUGCUACAAUGGAUGGUACAACGAGUUGCGAACUCGCGAGAGUAAGCUAAUCUCUUAAAGCCAUUCUCAGUUCGGAUUGUAGGCUGCAACUCGCCUACAUGGAGUCGGAAUCGCUAGUAAUCGCGGAUCAGCAUGCCGCGGUGAAUACGUUCCCGGGCCUUGUACACACCGCCCGUCACACCAUGAGAGUUUGUAACACCCAAAGUCGGUGGGGUAACCUUUUAGGAACCAGCCGCCUAAGGUGGGACAGAUGAUUAGGGUG
This 1489-nucleotide ribosomal RNA is filed under the name Lactiplantibacillus pentosus. Its description in RNAcentral is "bacterial SSU rRNA". It matches the Rfam family "Bacterial small subunit ribosomal RNA". The record is from RNAcentral. Lineage: Bacteria; Bacillati; Bacillota; Bacilli; Lactobacillales; Lactobacillaceae.